Molecule: ribosomal RNA, 465 nt
Filed under: uncultured bacterium
Lineage: Bacteria
Description: partial 16S ribosomal RNA
Rfam family: Bacterial small subunit ribosomal RNA
Source: RNAcentral
CCUACGGGAGGCAGCAGUAGGGAAUCUUCCACAAUGGGCGAAAGCCUGAUGGAGCAACGCCGCGUGGGUGAAGAAGGUCUUCGGAUCGUAAAACCCUGUUGUUAGAGAAGAAAGUGCGUGAGAGUAACUGUUCACGUUUCGACGGUAUCUAACCAGAAAGCCACGGCUAACUACGUGCCAGCAGCCGCGGUAAUACGUAGGUGGCAAGAGUUAUCCGGAUAUAGUGGGUGUAAAGGGAACGCAGACCGUCGUGUACGUCUGAUGUGAAGGCCUUCGGCUUAACCGGAGUAGUGCAUUGGAAACUGGGAGACUUGAGUGCAGAAGAGGAGAGUGGAACUCCAGGUGUAGCGGUGAAAUGCGUAGAUAUAUGGAAGAACACCAGUGGCGAAAGCGGCUCUCUGGUCUGUAACUGACGCUGAGGUUCGAAAGCGUGGGUAGCAAACAGGAUUAGAUACCCGUGUAGUC